Molecule: ribosomal RNA, 926 nt
Filed under: Salmonella enterica subsp. enterica serovar Heidelberg
Lineage: Bacteria; Pseudomonadati; Pseudomonadota; Gammaproteobacteria; Enterobacterales; Enterobacteriaceae
Also listed under: 1 other name
Description: partial 23S ribosomal RNA
Rfam family: Bacterial large subunit ribosomal RNA
Source: RNAcentral
AGACCCGAAACCCGGUGAUCUAGCCAUGGGCAGGUUGAAGGUUGGGUAACACUAACUGGAGGACCGAACCGACUAAUGUUGAAAAAUUAGCGGAUGACCUGUGGCUGGGGGUGAAAGGCCAAUCAAACCGGGAGAUAGCUGGUUCUCCCCGAAAGCUAUUUAGGUAGCGCCUCGUGAAUUCAUCUCCGGGGGUAGAGCACUGUUUCGGCUAGGGGGCCAUCCCGGCUUACCAACCCGAUGCAAACUGCGAAUACCGGAGAAUGUUAUCACGGGAGACACACGGCGGGUGCUAACGUCCGUCGUGAAGAGGGAAACAACCCAGACCGCCAGCUAAGGUCCCAAAGUCAUGGUUAAGUGGGAAACGAUGUGGGAAGGCCCAGACAGCCAGGAUGUUGGCUUAGAAGCAGCCAUCAUUUAAAGAAAGCGUAAUAGCUCACUGGUCGAGUCGGCCUGCGCGGAAGAUGUAACGGGGCUAAACCAUGCACCGAAGCUGCGGCAGCGAACGUAUCACCCAAGACAACUUUACGGAGUUGACGAUUGACGGAGCGAAGCGACGUCAAAGCGUUCAUUAAAGUCGAGUUGGCUUAGGGAUACGUUCGUUGGGUAGGGGAGCGUUCUGUAAGCCUGUGAAGGUGUGUCGUGAGGCAUGCUGGAGGUAUCAGAAGUGCGAAUGCUGACAUAAGUAACGAUAAAGCGGGUGAAAAGCCCGCUCGCCGGAAGACCAAGGGUUCCUGUCCAACGUUAAUCGGGGCAGGGUGAGUCGACCCCUAAGGCGAGGCCGAAAGGCGUAGUCGAUGGGAAACGGGUUAAUAUUCCCGUACUUGGUGUUACUGCGAAGGGGGGACGGAGAAGGCUAUGUUGGCCGGGCGACGGUUGUCCCGGUUUAAGCGUGUAGGUGUGUGUUCCAGGUAAAUCCGGUUCACUUU